This is a non-coding RNA of Drosophila melanogaster (fruit fly), 912 nucleotides long. The record is from Ensembl. NCBI's taxonomy places the organism in Eukaryota, Metazoa, Arthropoda, Insecta, Diptera, Drosophilidae.
GUCACAGGUCAGCUUUGACCUUGACAUAAUUGCCAAGGUCUGUACUCAAAGCCGAAAAAUAAAAUAAACCUAUAAUACAAAUCAAUUUCGCACAAUUUAAUGUAACAAACAUUGGACAGCAGCAACUGCCGCUGAGCUGACAAUAAUUUUUAUGACCAUUACGUGACCUGCGUUCGAAAUUUUCAAAUGCCCCCCAUCAGUAGGUUGUCGAUUUCGACGCUUUAGUAUGCCAGCGGUAAAUCCAAUUAGCGAAGCCCCAAAAAAUGGGAGAAAUUGGAGUUCGUUUGAUUUUUUUUAUUACUUUUAAAGUUUUCUAAAGAAGAACAGGAGCUGAUGGCAAGGCACUGUAUGCCAAAGGCGAGGUGUAAGCCAAGGAGGAAAUGUGGGCCAAUGGAGCAGCAGCGUACUUGGCCACAACAGGAGCAGCCAAUGGAGCAGCAGCGUACUUGGCCACCACAGGAGCGGCCAAUGGAGCAGCAGCGUACUUGGCCACCACAGGAGCGGCAACGGGAGCAAUCACAGGAGCAGCGGCGAUUCCAUUGUAGUUCCUGGCGAUAACCUGGCUACUGGUGGCGGUCACAACUGGAGCGGGAGCAGCUACCACGGCAGCAGGAGCUGAGUAAGCCAGAGGAGCAGAGUAAGCCAGAGGAGCAGUGUAAGCAAGGGGAGCACCCAGAAGUCCAGGCUUGGCAGCAGCGCAGGCAACGAUAGCCAGAAUAACAACGGCCUGUCAAUAAAAUGCGAUGAGUAAAUAUGGCAGGAAGCUAAGAUUCCAAACUUACGGAUUUGAACAUUAUGAUUAUGGAUCUGGUGCUUACGGUUCGAAAACUUGAACUUGUCUGAUGUCGUCCAACACAUUCCAUACCACUAUUUAUACGCCGCAUCGGGACUGCGUCUGUGACCUCAGGCCAU